CCUUUUCUUCUCGGACGAGCAUUAGCAUAGUGUGACGUGCCACCGUCCCCGACCAAUUUAGACAGAGCGCGCGGUAACUCUUUACUCAGUGCCGGGUGGCUGGAAGUUGGACAAAACCGACCUUUAAGACGCAGGCACACAACUGGAGUGAAACCACUUUCUCCUUGUAGCGAGACAGCUAGGAGACAAACGCUAAGAGCGAGUCUAAAUUCUGUGCGCUAGAAGAGAAGUCCAAGGGAAAGAAGAUGAAGACUGCGGUGGUGUUAGUGAUGGCCGUACUGUUGGUCAGUGGGCUGACCAGCGCGGCUCCGGCAAAGCAGCGCACGUCGUUCGCCUGUAACAAAGUCAUGCACUGUGUGAACAGCGACGGCUCCGCCUGUGACGUGAUUACCGGUUUCACCAACCGCUGUUCCUGCGUCUUGGUGAACGAAUGUGGCUAGCAGAACAAACAUCUGAUACAACUCGGGCGCCGCUGGAUCUACCAACGAACCAAAUCUACAUCCCAUGGAACAACUAGGAGACGCCCAGAAAAAUACAAAAUACGCCUUUGCAAAGGCUCAGUAUGCUUGAAAAAAAAACUAUGCUUGAUUUAUGAAUAGGACCUUGAGUGACUCUUUAGUCAGCUUUAAGUACUCUUCAAAGCCAAAAAAUGUCGACGUAGGCCCCCCUCCCAAUCCUGUUAGAAUAUCUGCAUGGCAUGACGUAAAUGCAUACGUAAAUGUACCGUUUUGUUUGACGCUCUCCGGAAAGUUUGGUGUCGACUCCCGUGUUUUCAGUCACAGGUUUCUGCGCGCUUUGUUUAACGUGACAGACCAUUUACCGUAAACUAUCGUGUUUUCGUUUGACCCUUUCAACCCUUUUAGAGGUUACGUCUUGUAAUUUACAACGUUUGUCAAAGCAUUUGCUGCCCAGGAACUUGGGGUCAAAAUUUUGUACGAACUAAAACAACAUGGAUUUAAAUUCAGCCUGUAUAGUAAAUCUUUUUGGACAUAUAUGAAUAAAAUGAAGAAAUGUAACAAACUACUUUAAAUUCGAUUAUGCUGGUUUUAAGAUAGUCGUUGUGAUUGUACUCAGCCUUUUAUAUUAAACGGAAUUUCUGCUUUUUGUCCUCUUCUUCGAA
This is a long non-coding RNA of Branchiostoma floridae (Florida lancelet), 1120 nucleotides long. RefSeq lists it as uncharacterized. The record is from RefSeq and is a predicted model, not a curated record. Lineage: Eukaryota; Metazoa; Chordata; Leptocardii; Amphioxiformes; Branchiostomatidae. The transcript has 3 exons.